GUAGGUAGCAGUUUCUUGUAUUUCGUCUUUGACUCUUUAACUUUGCAAUGGCAGUUGUUUAAAAGCAGUUGAGAUCUUGGAAAGUUAUGAGAAAUCACAAGCUGAUGUUUCUGAAGGGAUGCUUUUGUACAAGAUCUCUUUAUUGGAGGAAUCAGGUAAUAUAGAGAAGGCUUUGAAGGAGCUACUCAAUAAAAAGUCAGUCAUUGUUGAUAAUGUAGCUUUUAAGGAGCAACAUGUUUCCUUGUUGGUCAAGCUCAAUGAACUUAGCGAGGCAAAGAAAAUAUAUAUGGAGCUUCUUUCUCAGAAUCCAGAAAACUACAG
Long non-coding RNA from Daucus carota subsp. sativus, 321 nucleotides. RefSeq lists it as uncharacterized. The record is from RefSeq and is a predicted model, not a curated record. NCBI's taxonomy places the organism in Eukaryota, Viridiplantae, Streptophyta, Magnoliopsida, Apiales, Apiaceae. The transcript has 3 exons.